RNAcentral lists this transfer RNA (363 nucleotides) under Microcystis aeruginosa. The stretch from base 135 to 208 matches the Rfam family "tRNA". The record is from RNAcentral. Lineage: Bacteria; Bacillati; Cyanobacteriota; Cyanophyceae; Chroococcales; Microcystaceae.
AAGGGAGACCUAAUUCCGGUAGGAGACGAAAAAAAAGUAGUCCCUACCAAGAAUCAAUCCCAAAAGGUCGGAGCGAGGCAAAAUUGGCUUUCAAACUAGGUUCUGGGUUCACACAAGACCUGAAUCAGGAACAAGGGCUAUUAGCUCAGGUGGUUAGAGCGCACCCCUGAUAAGGGUGAGGUCCCUGGUUCGAGUCCAGGAUGGCCCACCUGUACAGGUGGCAAAAAGAAAGAAAAGAAGCGAGGAAUCAGCACCUUAUCUUACUUAUAUAGUAAGAGAGAAUGCUGGCUCUGAGUUCAGAGUCCAGAGGAACCUUGAAAACUGCAUAGAGCUAGGUGAAAAAGCCAAAAAAGAAGACCGCAA